Molecule: ribosomal RNA, 468 nt
Filed under: uncultured bacterium
Lineage: Bacteria
Description: partial 16S ribosomal RNA
Rfam family: Bacterial small subunit ribosomal RNA
Source: RNAcentral
GACGAACGCUGGCGGCGUGCUUAACACAUGCAAGUCGAACGGAAAGGCCCUGCUUUUGUGGGGUGCUCGAGUGGCGACCGGGUGAGUAACACGUGAGUAACCUGCCCUUGACUUUGGGAUAACUUCAGGCAACUGGGGCUAAUACCGGAUAGGAGCUCCUGCUGCAUGGUGGGUGUUGGAAAGUUUCGGCGGUUGGGGAUGGACUCGCGGCUUAUCAGCUUGUUGGUGGGGUAGUGGCUUACCAAGGCUUUGACGGGUAGCCGGCCUGAGAGGGUGACCGGCCACAUUGGGACGGAGAUACGGCCCAGACUCCUACGGGAGGCAGAAGUGGGGAAUAGUGCACAAUGGGCGGAAGCCUGAUGCAGCAACGCCGCGUGCGGGAUGACGGCCUUCGGGUUGUAAACCGCUUUCGCCUGUGACGAAGCGUGAGUGACGGUAAUGGGUAAAGAAGCACCGGCUAACUACGUG